This 1945-nucleotide ribosomal RNA is filed under the name Sacothrips sp. TH26. Its description in RNAcentral is "SSU rRNA". It matches the Rfam family "Eukaryotic small subunit ribosomal RNA". Lineage: Eukaryota; Metazoa; Arthropoda; Insecta; Thysanoptera; Phlaeothripidae. The record is from RNAcentral.
UCAAAGAUUAAGCCAUGCAUGUGUAAGUGCAAGCCGUACUAAGGCGAAACCGCGAAAGGCUCAUUACAUCAGUUGUGGUUCCUUGGACUGUACCCAGUUACUUGGAUAACUGCGGAAAAUCUGGAGCUAAUACAUGCCGACAGAGUCCCGACCAGAGAUGGGAGGGACGCUUUUAUUAGAUCAAAACCAAAAAUCCCCUCCGGGGGAAACGGUUUAAGGUGACUCUGAAUAACUUUGUGCCGAUCGCACGGCCCUCGCGCCGGCGACGCGUCUUUCAAAUGUCUGCCUUAUCAACUUUCGAUGGUAGGCUCUGCGCCUACCAUGGUUGUAACGGGUGACGGGGAAUCAGGGUUCGAUUCCGGAGAGGGAGCCUGAGAAACGGCUACCACAUCCAAGGAAGGCAGCAGGCGCGCAAAUUACCCACUCCCGGCUCGGGGAGGUAGUGACGAAAGAUAACGAUGCAGGACUCUUAUGAGGCCCUGUAAUCGGAAUGACUACAUUUUAAAUCUCUUAAGGAGUAUCAAUUGGAGGGCAAGUCUGGUGCCAGCAGCCGCGGUAAUUCCAGCUCCAAUAGCGUAUAUUAAAGCUGUUGCGGUUAAAAAGCUCGUAGUUGGAUCUGUGCCCCGCACCGCCGGUCCCCGCUCUCGCGGAGCGACUUGCAGGUUUGUGGGGCGUCCUGCCGGUGGGAGGUCUUGCCGGCGGCGGUCUCUGCGUCGGGUGUACUCUCGGCUCGGUGCGCACGUCUUGCUCGCGUUCAGUCGGCCGGGCGACCGGUACGGCGGCGGGCGGUGUCCCGGCCGGAGCCCUUCGCGGGCCGUCGAUGCGCGCGCUCCCGGUUAUCCGAUCCUGCCGAAGGUGCUCUUCACCGAGUGUCGAGGCGGGCCGGCAUGUUUACUUUGAACAAAUUAGAGUGCUUAAAGCAGGCUGGUGACGCCUGAAUGCUGUGUGCAUGGAAUAAUGGAAUAGGACCUCGGUUCUAUUUUCUUUUGGUUUUCUGAACCAGAGGUAAUGAUUAACGGAGACAGGCGGGGGCAUUCGUAUUGCGACGUUAGAGGUGAAAUUCUUGGAUCGUCGCAAGACGAACAGAAGCGAAAGCAUUUGCCAAGGAUGUUCUCGUUGAUCAAGAACGAAAGUCAGAGGUUCGAAGGCGAUCAGAUACCGCCCUAAUUCUGACCGUAAACGCUGCCAUCUGGUUAUUCGCCCAUGUUACAACCUUUAUGACUGGGCGAGCAACCCUCGGGAAACCAAAGAUUUUGGGUUCCGGGGGAAGUAUGGUUGCAAAGCUGAAACUUAAAGGAAUUGACGGAAGGGCACCACCAGGAGUGGAGCCUGCGGCUUAAUUUGACUCAACACGGGAAACCUCACCAGGCCCGGACACUGGAAGGAUUGACAGAUUGAUAGCUCUUUCUUGAUUCAGUGGGUGGUGGUGCAUGGCCGUUCUUAGUUGGUGGAGCGAUUUGUCUGGUUAAUUCCGAUAACGAACGAGACUCUAGCCUGCUAACUAGUCGAUGAUUUCAAUCCGGCAUCCUCUUACGGCUGCCGGCGAAAACAACUCUUCUUAGAGGGACAGGCGGCUCCUAGCCGCACGAGAUUGAGCAAUAACAGGUCUGUGAUGCCCUUAGAUGUUCUGGGCCGCACGCGCGCUACAAUGAAGGUAUCAACGUGUGUUCCUUGGCCGAGAGGCCCGGGUAACCCGCUGAACCACCUUCGUGCUUGGGACUGGGGCUUGAAAUUGUUCCCCAUGAACGAGGAAUUCCCAGUAAAGGCGUGUCACUAGCACGCCUUGAUUACGUCCCUGCCCUUUGUACACACCGCCCGUCGCUACUACCGAUUGAAUGAAUUAGUGAGGUCUUCGGACCAGCGCGCGGUUCUCGUCCCUCGGGACCCCCGUCGCUGCAGGGAAGAUGAUCGAACUUGUUCAUUUAGAGGAAGUAAAAGUCGUAAC